RNAcentral lists this ribosomal RNA (235 nucleotides) under Gibellulopsis simonii. RNAcentral's name for it is "partial 28S ribosomal RNA". It matches the Rfam family "Eukaryotic large subunit ribosomal RNA", at positions 1 to 232 of the family's 3401-position model. The record is from RNAcentral. Lineage: Eukaryota; Fungi; Ascomycota; Sordariomycetes; Glomerellales; Plectosphaerellaceae.
GUUGACCUCGGAUCAGGUAGGAAUACCCGCUGAACUUAAGCAUAUCAAUAAGCGGAGGAAAAGAAACCAACAGGGAUUGCCUCAGUAACGGCGAGUGAAGCGGCAACAGCUCAAAUUUGAAAUCUGGCUCCUUCGGGGCCCGAGUUGUAAUUUGCAGAGGAUGCUUCGGGUACGGGUUCCUUCCGAGUUCCCUGGAACGGGACGCCAUAGAGGGUGAGAGCCCCGUCUGGUAGGA